CUGGGCGGCAGUAGCGCGGUGGUCCCACCUGACCCCAUGCCGAACUCAGAAGUGAAACGCCGUAGCGCCGAUGGUAGUGUGGGGUUUCCCCAUGCGAGAGUAGGGAACUGCCAGGC
Molecule: ribosomal RNA, 116 nt
Filed under: Enterobacter sp. R4-368
Lineage: Bacteria; Pseudomonadati; Pseudomonadota; Gammaproteobacteria; Enterobacterales; Enterobacteriaceae
Source: RNAcentral